UUUUGUUGUGCUUGAAUGUUCGGAGUAUUCAGAGUCUUGCAUGAUGAUAUCUUGAACUUGUGUUUAACUUGGGAUCCAGUGUGAUGCAAGUACAGUGAUCUAAUCAUAUCAAGUGAUCAAUGGACUUAUGAUCACUUGACUGGAUAGGGGAAGUAGACAAAUAUGGAGUGAUUAACUGAUCAAAAUUAACUUUGAUCAAUCAGUCACUCAAGGACAUGAUCAAGAAAUGGAUUACAAGCACAAUGAAUUUGGGAUCA
This 257-nucleotide long non-coding RNA is filed under the name Lathyrus oleraceus (garden pea). RNAcentral describes it as "Pisum sativum (pea) long non-coding RNA (PSAT_LNC011142)". Lineage: Eukaryota; Viridiplantae; Streptophyta; Magnoliopsida; Fabales; Fabaceae. The record is from RNAcentral.